AGAUGGGGCUGCUCGGGCGCCCACCUCCCACCCGUGACUACCUAACACUGUUGCUUCGGCGGGGAGCCCUCUCGGGGGCGAGCCGCCGGGGACUACUGAACUUCAUGCCUGAGAGUGAUGCAGUCUGAGUCUGAAUAUAAAAUCAGUCAAAACUUUCAACAAUGGAUCUCUUGGUUCCGGCAUCGAUGAAGAACGCAGCGAACUGCGAUAAGUAAUGUGAAUUGCAGAAUUCAGUGAAUCAUCGAGUCUUUGAACGCACAUUGCGCCCCCUGGCAUUCCGGGGGGCAUGCCUGUCCGAGCGUCAUUGCUGCCCAUCAAGCCCGGCUUGUGUGUUGGGUCGUCGUCCCCCCCGGGGGACGGGCCCGAAAGGCAGCGGCGGCACCGUGUCCGGUCCUCGAGCGUAUGGGGCUUUGUCACCCGCUCGAUUAGGGCCGGCCGGGCGCCAGCCGACGUCUCCAACCAUUUUCUUCAGGUUGACCUCGGAUCAGGUAGGGAUACCCGCUGAACUUAAGCAUAUCAAUAAGCGGAGGA
RNAcentral lists this ribosomal RNA (531 nucleotides) under Aspergillus versicolor. RNAcentral's name for it is "eukaryotic LSU rRNA". The stretch from base 151 to 304 matches the Rfam family "5.8S ribosomal RNA". The record is from RNAcentral. Lineage: Eukaryota; Fungi; Ascomycota; Eurotiomycetes; Eurotiales; Aspergillaceae.